This 83-nucleotide transfer RNA is filed under the name Xylariaceae sp. FL1651. RNAcentral's name for it is "tRNA-Glu". It matches the Rfam family "tRNA". Rfam says of the family: Transfer RNA (tRNA) molecules are approximately 80 nucleotides in length. Their secondary structure includes four short double-helical elements and three loops (D, anti-codon, and T loops). Lineage: Eukaryota; Fungi; Ascomycota; Sordariomycetes; Xylariales; Xylariaceae. The record is from RNAcentral.
UCCGAAUUGGUGUAGUGGCCAACAUUUGACGCUCUCAAGAAAGAAGUACCGUCAAGCCCGGGGUUCGAUUCCCCGAUUCGGAG